GAUGAACGCUGGCGGCGUGCCUAAUACAUGCAAGUCGAGCGAACGGACGAGAAGCUUGCUUCUCUGAUGUUAGCGGCGGACGGGUGAGUAACACGUGGAUAACCUACCUAUAAGACUGGGAUAACUUCGGGAAACCGGGGCUAAUACCGGAUAAUAUUUUGAACCGCAUGGUUCAAAAGUGAAAGACGGUCUUGCUGUCACUUAUAGAUGGAUCCGCGCUGCAUUAGCUAGUUGGUAAGGUAACGGCUUACCAAGGCAACGAUGCAUAGCCGACCUGAGAGGGUGAUCGGACACUCGGGAACUUGGACACGGUCCAGACUCCUACGGGAGGCAGCAGUAGGGAAUCUUCCGCAAUGGGCGAAAGCCUGACGGAGCAACGCCGCGUGAGUGAUGAAGGUCUUCGGAUCGUAAAACUCUGUUAUUAGGGAAGAACAUAUGUGUAAGUAACUGUGCACAUCUUGACGGUACCUAAUCAGAAAGCCACGGCUAACUACGUG
This 497-nucleotide ribosomal RNA is filed under the name uncultured bacterium. RNAcentral's name for it is "partial 16S ribosomal RNA". It matches the Rfam family "Bacterial small subunit ribosomal RNA", at positions 28 to 507 of the family's 1533-position model. The record is from RNAcentral.